UACGUAGGGUGCGAGCGUUGCCCGGAUUUAUUGGGCGUAAAGGGCGCGUAGGCGGUCACGCACGUCCGUUGUGAAAUCGCUCGGCUCAACUGGGCGGGGUCAGCGGAUACGGCGUGGCUGGAGCAAGCUAGGGGGCAAUGGAAUUCCCGGUGUAGUGGCGGAAUGCGUAGAUAUCGGGAGGAACACCAGUGGCGAAGGCGGUUGCCUGGAGCUUUGCUGACGCUGAUGCGCGAAAGCGUGGGGAGCGAUCCGG
Molecule: ribosomal RNA, 253 nt
Filed under: uncultured bacterium
Lineage: Bacteria
Description: partial 16S ribosomal RNA
Rfam family: Bacterial small subunit ribosomal RNA
Source: RNAcentral